CCUUGACCGCAGCGACUCGAAAUAAAUGCGUAGCCGGUAACACUGUUUACCGGCGACACUGUCACUGCGCUGGAAGCCUCUUCAGGGGUUACCAGUAACCCGGGGUCCUUUGUGGAUCCGGGCUCACAGAUCAAACGACAGUGGCCGCCUCCGGGCGGUUCAGAUAUGACCGAUACCCCCGAGGUUGCUCGGGGGAAACCCCCUAAUAGUUCCGUAGGUGAACCUGCGGAAGGAUCAUUA
RNAcentral lists this ribosomal RNA (240 nucleotides) under Circinaria hispida. RNAcentral describes it as "Agrestia hispida partial 18S ribosomal RNA". Lineage: Eukaryota; Fungi; Ascomycota; Lecanoromycetes; Pertusariales; Megasporaceae. The record is from RNAcentral.